UGAUAUUAAACUAAAGUUAACUCAAAAAUUCAUGCGGAUUCUUAAUUUGAUUUUAAUAGUCAUUCAAUGUCAAAUAAAGUUAUUUGUAAUUUUCAUUAUACUUAGGAGUAACCACAGUAUCCUAUAGAUAAUGAAAAAUAUAUAUAAGGUACUGACAAUGAAUUAAAGCUUGACUAUUUGUUGCAGUCAAAUAAAUAAUAAAAUUCUAAAUUUUGAUGAAGCCGAAAUAUAUGUGGCAGAGAUGGUAAAAAACCGCUAGUCAUAUAAAUGUACCCUGUUAAAGCC
Molecule: long non-coding RNA, 285 nt
Filed under: Ananas comosus (pineapple)
Lineage: Eukaryota; Viridiplantae; Streptophyta; Magnoliopsida; Poales; Bromeliaceae
Description: long non-coding RNA (ACOM_LNC005684)
Source: RNAcentral